GGGCUCGAGUUGUAAUUUGCAGAGGAUGCUUUUGGCAAUGGUACCUUCCGAGUUCCCUGGAACGGGACGCCAUAGAGGGUGAGAGCCCCGUCUAGUUGGAUGCCUGAGCCUCUAUAAAGCUCCUUCGACGAGUCGAGUAGUUUGGGAAUGCUGCUCAAAGUGGGAGGUAUAUGUCUUCUAAAGCUAAAUACCAGCUAGAGACCGAUAGCGCACAAGUAGAGUGAUCGAAAGAUGAAAAGCACUUUGAAAAGAGGGUUAAAUAGUACGUGAAAUUGCUAAAAGGGAAGCGCUUAUAACUAGACAUGGGGGUAUUUAAUCACCUAGUGGUUUUCGCUAGGGCAUUUAGGUAUUUCUAGGCUAGCAUCGGUUUACUGGCAAGAGAUAAAGAUGUUAGGAACGUAGCUCUCUUCCGGGAGGGUGUUAUAGCCUAGUAUGUAAUGUCUUAUAGUGGACCGAGGUCUGCGCUCCUUGUGGGCAAGGAUGCUGGCAUAAUGGUUAUUAGUGACCCGUCUUGAAACACGGACCAAGGAGUCGUCCUCGUAUGCAAGUGUUUGGGUGGUAAAAACCCCUAUGCGAAAUAAAAGUGAACGUAGGUAAGAGCCCCCUUUUAGGGGGGGGUGCAUUACCGACCGAUCCUGAUGUUCUAUGGAUGGAUUUGAGUAAGAGCAUACGGGGCCGGACCCGAAAGAAGGUGAA
This 696-nucleotide ribosomal RNA is filed under the name Ophiocordyceps australis. RNAcentral describes it as "LSU rRNA". It matches the Rfam family "Eukaryotic large subunit ribosomal RNA", at positions 134 to 830 of the family's 3401-position model. Lineage: Eukaryota; Fungi; Ascomycota; Sordariomycetes; Hypocreales; Ophiocordycipitaceae. The record is from RNAcentral.